Molecule: ribosomal RNA, 472 nt
Filed under: uncultured bacterium
Lineage: Bacteria
Description: bacterial SSU rRNA
Rfam family: Bacterial small subunit ribosomal RNA
Source: RNAcentral
AACACAUGCAAGUCGAACGAGGCGUUGCCAUCGGAAGGUUUCGGAGUAGGAAGAAGGCAAGACCGAGUGGCGGACGGGUGGAGUAACGGCGUGGGAACCUGCCCAUUCCGGGGAUACCAGUGGAACGACUGUUAAUACCGCAUAAGCGCACGGCAUCGCAUGAUGCAGUGUGAAAAAACCACGGUGGAAUGGGAUGGCCCCGCGUCUGAUUAGCCAGUUGGCAGGGUAACGGCCUACCAAAGCGACGAUCAGUAGCCGGCCUGAGAGGGCGACCGGCCACAUUGGGACUGAGACACGGCCCAAACUCCUACGGGAGGCAGCAGUGGGGAAUAUUGCACAAUGGGGGGAAACCCUGAUGCAGCGAACCGCCGCGUGAGUGAAGAAGUAUUUCGGUAUGUAAAGCUCUAUCAGCAGGGAAGAAGAUGACGGUACCUGCACAAGAAGCCCCGGCUAACUACGUGCCAGCAGCCGC